This 811-nucleotide ribosomal RNA is filed under the name uncultured bacterium. Its description in RNAcentral is "bacterial SSU rRNA". It matches the Rfam family "Bacterial small subunit ribosomal RNA", at positions 9 to 790 of the family's 1533-position model. The record is from RNAcentral.
GAGUUUGAUCCUGGCUCAGGACGAACGCUGGCGGCGUGCUUAACACAUGCAAGUCGAACGAAGAGCGAUGGAAGCUUGCUUCUAUCAAUCUUAGUGGCGAACGGGUGAGUAACGCGUAAUCAACCUGCCCUUCAGAGGGGGACAACAGUUGGAAACGACUGCUAAUACCGCAUACGAUCUAAUCUCGGCAUCGAGGAAAGAUGAAAGGUGGCCUCUAUGUAUAAGCUAUCACUGAAGGAGGGGAUUGCGUCUGAUUAGCUAGUUGGAGGGGUAACGGCCCACCAAGGCGAUGAUCAGUAGCCGGUCUGAGAGGAUGAACGGCCACAUUGGGACUGAGACACGGCCCAGACUCCUACGGGAGGCAGCAGUGGGGAAUCUUCCGCAAUGGACGAAAGUCUGACGGAGCAACGCCGCGUGAGUGAUGACGGCCUUCGGGUUGUAAAGCUCUGUUAAUCGGGACGAAAGGCCUUCUUGCGAAUAGUUAGAAGGAUUGACGGUACCGGAAUAGAAAGCCACGGCUAACUACGUGCCAGCAGCCGCGGUAAUACGUAGGUGGCAAGCGUUGUCCGGAAUUAUUGGGCGUAAAGCGCGCGCAGGCGGAUCAGUCAGUCUGUCUUAAAAGUUCGGGGCUUAACCCCGUGAUGGGAUGGAAACUGCUGAUCUAGAGUAUCGGAGAGGAAAGUGGAAUUCCUAGUGUAGCGGUGAAAUGCGUAGAUAUUAGGAAGAACACCAGUGGCGAAGGCGACUUUCUGGACGAAAACUGACGCUGAGGCGCGAAAGCCAGGGGAGCGAACGGGAUUAGAUACCCCGG